RNAcentral lists this ribosomal RNA (750 nucleotides) under uncultured bacterium. RNAcentral describes it as "bacterial SSU rRNA". It matches the Rfam family "Bacterial small subunit ribosomal RNA", at positions 50 to 782 of the family's 1533-position model. The record is from RNAcentral.
AAGACCUACCCGGCCAGUCCGACCGAGAGACCUCCGGGUCCCCACGUGGCGAACGGGUGAGUCACACGUACGGGAACCCGCCCGCGCACCGGGAAUACGCUCCGGAAACGGAGAACAAAUCCCCGAUGUACAGGAAGGAGGCAUCUUCCUUUCCGUGAAACAUCCUCUAGGGGAUCGGGGCGCGGAUGGACCUGCGGUGCAUUAGUUGGUUGGCGGGGUAAAGGCCCACCAAGACGAUGAUGCAUAGCCGGCCUGAGAGGGCGGACGGCCACAUUGGGACUGAGACACGGCCCAGACUCCUGCGGGAGGCAGCAGUAGGGAAUUUUCGUCAAUGGGCGCAAGCCUGAACGAGCGAUGCCGCGUGAGUGAAGAAGGGUUUCGGCUCGUAAAGCUCUGUUGGUAGUGAAGAAAGAUAGAGGUAGUAACUGGCCUUUAUUUGACGGUAAUUACUUAGAAAGUCACGGCUAACUACGUGCCAGCAGCCGCGGUAAUACGUAGGUGGCAAGCGUUGUCCGGAUUUAUUGGGCGUAAAGCGAGUGCAGGCGGUUCAAUAAGUCUGAUGUGAAAGCCUUCGGCUCAACCGGAGAAUUGCAUCAGAAACUGUUGAACUUGAGUGCAGAAGAGGAGAGUGGAACUCCAUGUGUAGCGGUGGAAUGCGUAGAUAUAUGGAAGAACACCAGUGGCGAAGGCGGCUCUCUGGUCUGCAACUGACGCUGAGGCUCGAAAGCAUGUGUAGCGAACAGGAUUAGA